UACAGAGGGUGCGAGCGUUAAUCGGAAUUACUGGGCGUAAAGCGCGCGUAGGCGGCUUUUCAAGUCGAUUGUGAAAUCCCCGGGCUUAACCUGGGAACUGCAGUCGAGACUGUCUAGCUAGAGUAUGGGAGAGGGAAGUGGAAUUUCAGGUGUAGCGGUGAAAUGCGUAGAUAUCUGAAGGAACAUCAGUGGCGAAAGCGACUUCCUGGACCAAUACCGACGCUCAUGUGCGAAAGCGUGGGGAGCAAACAGG
RNAcentral lists this ribosomal RNA (253 nucleotides) under uncultured bacterium. RNAcentral describes it as "partial 16S ribosomal RNA". It matches the Rfam family "Bacterial small subunit ribosomal RNA", at positions 524 to 776 of the family's 1533-position model. The record is from RNAcentral.